UUUUAUAAUAAUAUCGGAAUCUAUACCUAAUUUCCAACUAUUGCUAAGCCAACUAGAUUCAGUGUGAAUCCAGCCUGAAUAAUCUGGAUUAAAUAUAUUAUAAGCGUAACAGAACUCCAUCUUGAUUCAAUAAUUCAAGGUAUUAUGAAUAUAAACACAACAAAUGGGUGUUAUCUGAUCAGUCUUGGUUGGGAGCAAUAGAGAAAGAAACUUAAAAUGACAAUGGCAAGCAUCUCAGCCUGCAAAGCCCUGGGAAGGGACACAAAAGCAGCCAGAAGCAGUAGGUACAGGGAUGACCAAGCCAUGGCUGUGGUUAGGUGUUACACACCACCAAGGACAGACAAGCUCCACCACCUGGGGAUUUUUUUAAAAUGAGCUAUUUAUUGAAAUAGAAGUUACAAUUUACACAGACAGCCAGGUUGUGGUGGUAGCAUAUACCUUUAAACCCAGUACUUGGGCAGUAGAGGCAGGCAGAUCUCUGAGUAAGAGUCCAGCCUGGUCUACAGAAUGAGUUCCAGUACAAGCAGAGUUACAUAGAGAAACAGCCUCAGAAAAAAAGAAGUUAUAUACUCUAUUUUUAUGCCUUUUAUUCAAUUCUGUGAGUGUUGAUCCACGUUCUGCUAUUAAAGUAGCACAGAUAUAGAGGUUAAAAAUGAGGCUGUAAAGCAGCCAUCCUAGUGAGUCCCUGAACCUGUGACUGAUGAGUGCUGAUUCUCACUCUAAUGCUCUACUUGGUCAUACUCCUCACUGAGCUUUCAGUAGCCUCUAGAGCUUGCCUUUGUGGGCACAGUUGGCUCACCCUUCUGCCCUGCUCUCUAGUACCCCUGGAUCCCACCUGUGGCUGGACUUACCUGCUUCUCAUCUGUAGCAGUUGUAAUUCCUGUGAUAUGAUAUGAAAAUAGUCCUGCAGAUGCAACUGUCUGAUUUCUUAUCCUUAAAACUCCUGAGGUUGGAUUGUAGGCUGCCUGUAACAGCAAGUUAGCAAAUUUUCAUGCCUGCAUUGCCUUUGCAUGGAUAGUCUGUGUAUGGUUUAUCAGAUCAUCAGUUGCAACACAUUUGGUAAUUACAAAAAAAUAAAUAAAUAAAUAAAAUCACUAUGCACAAUCUUUUAUGUAAACAUAGCAUUUACUUCUGUUUAAAGAGGAUUAGAAUUUCCAGGCUUAUAAUAGUUGCUUUAAACUGUAUCAUGGAGUAAUUCUAUUUAAAUUAAUUCAUGAGGUAAUUCUAUUUAAAGAAAAAAAACUGAUGAUGUCUCAUUGAUUUCUUGAAAGAAUAACUCUAGAUUACUAUAUUUUAAACCUAUUUCAACAGAAAAUUUAAUAUUACUCUGAUAAAAUAUUUAAUAUCAUAUACAGUUUUUCCAGAAAGUCAUCAUUGUGCAUGUCUGCUUUUUAGUACAGAGUGAUUUAUCUGUGUAAGAAUUUGUAUAUGAUGCUGAUUGACCUAUCCUUCAGAAUGAGUUCAUCCCAUGCAGUUCUAAUUGUCUCUAAAUGGAUUUGGGCUUUCUGUUUCCUAGAGCUGUUUGCUGAGUUUCUCAUAACUUGCUCUCUGCUUUCACUCUUGUACUUUCUGUGUUCUUUCUCUGGUAUUUAUUGGUACCAUAAUAAUAUGCAUCAUGGCUAAAUUGGCAGCAGCACUUGUUAGCAAGUCUAAUGACCUGAAUUUAUUCCCUGGAACCCAUGUGGUACCAAGCAAGAUCAACUCUUCCAAGUUGUCCUUUGAAGUCCACAGGAACACUCUGCUGGGUACACCCAUCUCAUAGUGCCACCCACCUACAAAAAUCAAUUUUAAAAAUUAUUAAGAAUAUAUGAAAUUUUAGUCUAAAUACUUUAUAUCUACUUAAUUUUUAAAACAUUACUUUCAAAUUAAAAGAAAACUUUCUUUGCAGGUUCUUGGUGUUUGCAGUAAGAAGAGUCUGAUUGUGUUUGUUUUGUAAUGACCUCAGCCUCAGUCUAGCUUUCACUCCAGUAGUGACAGUGACAACCUGUUCUCCCCCAAUUCACUUUUUCCAUCUUUUCAAAACUGAUAUUGUGAGUUUUCACUGUAUGAGUAAUCUCCUUUGUAAGUUGUGUGUGUGUGUGUGUGUGUGUGUGUGUGUGUGUGUGUGGUCACUGCAGUCAUUUUAAGUACAUACUGACAACACAAUUGUCAGGAAAGUGCUUCUUCUCUGAAGAACUUCCCUUCACACUAGACAUAUUACUGCUAAACCAAUAAAUAUUUACAGAUUGACUGCCUGAGUCAAUGGUGAGAAGCAGCCUUACUUACUAAAAGCACCCUUAACUUACUAAAAGUGCACAUUUGUUGUUGAUGCGUCUAUCACAGGGUACUGUUAAAAAAAAUACAAGCCUACACUACAGCUACUAUCACAUGUUAUCACAGGGUGGAAAGAAAAGACUUAAGCUGAGAUCCACCUCAAAGAGAACAAACCUCAGGGUUACUCAACUCCACUCCCUCCCCAUAUCCCCACUUAUUUACCUAAAAGAAGGAAAGGGUCUAUCCUCCUAGCUGAUGUAUCUAAGAUAGAAGAAGGAACAAGUUAAACUAAGGAGAAAGGCCUAAGAAUGGAAAUAUAUAGUUGCAAGUG
RNAcentral lists this long non-coding RNA (2584 nucleotides) under Mus musculus (house mouse). RNAcentral describes it as "long non-coding RNA chr3:141562886-141565470". Lineage: Eukaryota; Metazoa; Chordata; Mammalia; Rodentia; Muridae. The record is from RNAcentral.